Molecule: ribosomal RNA, 996 nt
Filed under: uncultured Gammaproteobacteria bacterium
Lineage: Bacteria; Pseudomonadati; Pseudomonadota; Gammaproteobacteria
Description: bacterial SSU rRNA
Rfam family: Bacterial small subunit ribosomal RNA
Source: RNAcentral
CAGCAGCCGCGGUAAUACGGAGGGUGCGAGCGUUAAUCGGAAUUACUGGGCGUAAAGCGCGCGUAGGCGGUUAGUUAAGUCAGCUGUGAAAGCCCUGGGCUCAACCUGGGAACUGUAGUUGAUACUGGCCAACUAGAGUGCAAGAGAGGGAGGUAGAAUUCCACGUGUAGCGGUGAAAUGCGUAGAUAUGUGGAGGAAUACCAGUGGCGAAGGCGGCCUCCUGGCUUGACACUGACGCUGAGGCGCGAAAGCGUGGGGAGCAAACGGGAUUAGAUACCCCGGUAGUCCACGCCGUAAACGAUGUCUACUAGCCGUUGGGAAACUUGAUUUCUUGGUGGCGCAGCUAACGCACUAAGUAAACCGCCUGGGGAGUACGGCCGCAAGGUUAAAACUCAAAUGAAUUGACGGGGGCCCGCACAAGCGGUGGAGCAUGUGGUUUAAUUCGAUGCAACGCGAAGAACCUUACCAGGUCUUGACAUCUUGCGAAUUUUCUAGAGAUAGAUUAGUGCCUUCGGGAACGCAGUGACAGGUGCUGCAUGGCUGUCGUCAGCUCGUGUCGUGAGAUGUUGGGUUAAGUCCCGUAACGAGCGCAACCCUUGUCCUUAGUUGCCAGCACGUAAUGGUGGGAACUCUAGGGAGACUGCCGGUGACAAACCGGAGGAAGGUGGGGACGAGCUCAAGUCAUCAUGGCCCUUACGACCUGGGCUACACACGUGCUACAAUGGAACGCACAGAGGGCAGCAAACCCGCGAGGGGGAGCGAAUCCCACAAAACGUUUCGUAGUCCGGAUUGGAGUCUGCAACUCGACUCCAUGAAGUCGGAAUCGCUAGUAAUCGUGAAUCAGAAUGUCACGGUGAAUACGUUCCCGGGCCUUGUACACACCGCCCGUCACACCAUGGGAGUGGGUUGCUCCAGAAGUGGUUAGCCUAACCUUCGGGAGGGCGAUCACCACGGAGUGAUUCAUGACUGGGGUGAAGUCGUAACAAGGUAACCGUA